RNAcentral lists this unclassified non-coding RNA (876 nucleotides) under Leishmania donovani. RNAcentral's name for it is "gene:unknown". Lineage: Eukaryota; Euglenozoa; Kinetoplastea; Trypanosomatida; Trypanosomatidae. The record is from RNAcentral.
CAUAGCGGUACCUCUUUUUCAUCCGUGCGGUCGGUCACGAACACUCACUAGUCAAUUCUCGCUUCAGGCAACACGGCACUCGUCGCACUUCCUGUUUAACACGCACACACAAAGAAAGAAUAGAAAAUUUCAACUGAACUCAAACUUGCGACUACUUGUGCGACACACCUCGCGCGCCGAUCGCACUUCAGCCAAAACACAGAGGCUGUCUUUUCGAUAUCAAGGCCCGUUGCGGAGCGGGGCCCACACCGCCACCUUCUUUUCCUCGAGGGCAUACGUCGUCCACCACUCAACGUGUACUUAUACGGAGGACGUAAAUAAAGCAGCAACUACCGCCGCCCCCGCAACUGUAGCCCAGACGAAGCGCGGUCUAUCGACGGGGCGCAGAGGAACACAUUACACACUAGAUGCACUUCUCAGAGAAAAUCUCUUCCCACUCAUUCAGCAGGAACGCCGACCCCCCCCCCCCCCCCCCCAAAAAAAAAAGAACAACAGCAAACAAAGGAAACGAGAAGAGGUGGCGAGAGUGCGCAAGGCAACUCAGUCACGUCAUCUUCAGCUGUGCUCACGAUUGCGCCCAUCUCUGCGCCCCAUCCAAACCGCAGCUCAAGCUCACGCACUCAGACACACCCAGCUUUCUCGUCAACGCACAGUGAUCACGCCUUGUCCUGACGCACGCACACUCACGCGCACACUCAUAUCGGCAUCUACAUACUCUGCUUCACUGCCGACUGCCCUUCUACCGACCCACCCUCUUGCCAUUCACUCACCCCUCUUCUCUCGCUUGCUCUAUGACUGACAUACCCCACCCCCACCCGCACCCUCUUGACGCAUAACUGCACAUCGACGCUGUGCUGCACGCCUGACUGCCAUCAG